This 101-nucleotide signal recognition particle RNA is filed under the name bovine gut metagenome. RNAcentral's name for it is "Bacteroidales small SRP". It matches the Rfam family "Bacteroidales small SRP". Rfam says of the family: The non-coding component of the signal recognition particle in Bacteroides The record is from RNAcentral.
AUAGGGUAAGUCCUACACGACCAGCUCCCUCUGAACUCCCCCAGGUCUUGACCGAAGCAAGGGUAGGAGGUUGUAGCGGUGCGAUGUAGCCAGCUUACCCU